Molecule: ribosomal RNA, 492 nt
Filed under: uncultured bacterium
Lineage: Bacteria
Description: partial 16S ribosomal RNA
Rfam family: Bacterial small subunit ribosomal RNA
Source: RNAcentral
AGUGAACGCUGGCUGUAGGCCUAACACAUGCAAGUCGAACGGCAGCACAGUAAGAGCUUGCUCUUACGGGUGGCGAGUGGCGGACGGGUGAGGAAUACAUCGGAAUCUACUUUUUCGUGGGGGAUAACGUAGGGAAACUCACGCUAAUACCGCAUACGACCUACGGGUGAAAGCAGGGGAUCUUCGGACCUUGCGCGAUUGAAUGAGCCGAUGUCGGAUUAGCUAGUUGGCGGGGUAAAGGCCCACCAAGGCGACGAUCCGUAGCUGGUCGGAGAGAAUGAUAGGGCACACUAGAACUGAGACAAGGUCCAGACUCCUACGGGCGACAGCAGUGGGGAAUAUUGCACGAUGAGCGCAAGCCUGAUCAAGCCAUACCGCGUGGGUGAAGCAGCCCUUCGGGUUGUAAAGCCCUUUUGUUGGGAGAGAAAAGCAGCAGGUUAAUACCCCGCUAUUCUGACGGUACCCAAAGAAUAAGCACCGGCUAACUUCGUG